UGCAGUCGAGCGGAGAUGAGGUGCUUGCACCUUAUCUUAGCGGCGGACGGGUGAGUAAUGCUUAGGAAUCUGCCUAUUAGUGGGGGACAACAUUCCGAAAGGGAUGCUAAUACCGCAUACGUCCUACGGGAGAAAGCAGGGGAUCUUCGGACCUUGCGCUAAUAGAUGAGCCUAAGUCGGAUUAGCUAGUUGGUGGGGUAAAGGCCUACCAAGGCGACGAUCUGUAGCGGGUCUGAGAGGAUGAUCCGCCACACUGGGACUGAGACACGGCCCAGACUCCUACGGGAGGCAGCAGUGGGGAAUAUUGGACAAUGGGGGGAACCCUGAUCCAGCCAUGCCGCGUGUGUGAAGAAGGCCUUAUGGUUGUAAAGCACUUUAAGCGAGGAGGAGGCUACUGAGACUAAUACUCUUGGAUAGUGGACGUUACUCGCAGAAUAAGCACCGGCUAACUCUGUGCCAGCAGCCGCGGUAAU
This 473-nucleotide ribosomal RNA is filed under the name uncultured bacterium. RNAcentral describes it as "bacterial SSU rRNA". It matches the Rfam family "Bacterial small subunit ribosomal RNA", at positions 56 to 524 of the family's 1533-position model. The record is from RNAcentral.